This 364-nucleotide ribosomal RNA is filed under the name uncultured Desulfobulbus sp. Its description in RNAcentral is "bacterial SSU rRNA". It matches the Rfam family "Bacterial small subunit ribosomal RNA", at positions 1016 to 1382 of the family's 1533-position model. Lineage: Bacteria; Pseudomonadati; Thermodesulfobacteriota; Desulfobulbia; Desulfobulbales; Desulfobulbaceae. The record is from RNAcentral.
UCUGGAAGAAUCUGGAGACAGGUGCUGCAUGGCUGUCGUCAGCUCGUGUCGUGAGAUGUUGGGUUAAGUCCCGCAACGAGCGCAACCCUUGCCUUUAGUUGCCAGCAGUUCGGCUGGGCACUCUAAAGGGACUGCCGGUGUUAAACCGGAGGAAGUGGGGAUGACGUCGAGUCCUCAUGGCCUUUAUGACCAGGGCUACACACGUACUACAAUGGCCGAUACAAAGGGCAGCGACACUGCGAGGUGAAGCCAAUCCCGUAAAAUCGGUCUCAGUCCGGAUUGGAGUCUGCAACUCGACUCCAUGAAGUUGGAAUCGCUAGUAAUCGUGGAUCAGCAUGCCACGGUGAAUACGUUCCCGGGCCUU